CCUACGGGAGGCAGCAGUGAGGAAUAUUGGUCAAUGGGCGGAAGCCUGAACCAGCCAAGUAGCGUGCAGGAUGACGGCCCUACGGGUUGUAAACUGCUUUUAUACGGGAAUAACGCGCCUUACGUGUAGGGCUUUGCAUGUACCGUAUGAAUAAGGACCGGCUAUUCCGUGCCCGCAGCCGCGGUAAAACGGGAGGGCCGGGCGUUAGCCGGAUUUUUUGGGUUUAAAGGGAGCGUAGGCCGCAUGUCAAGCGUGCUGUGAAAUGUCCGGGCUCAACCCGGGCCUUGCAGCGCGAACUGGCGUGCUUGAGUCCGCGGAAAGCAGGCGGAAUUCGUCGUGUAGCGGUGAAAUGCUUAGAUAUGACGAAGAACCCCGAUUGCGAAGGCAGCUUGCUGCAGCGGAACUGACGCUGAUGCUCGAAAGCGCGGGUAUCGAACAGGAUUAGAUACCCCUGUAGUC
Molecule: ribosomal RNA, 459 nt
Filed under: uncultured bacterium
Lineage: Bacteria
Description: partial 16S ribosomal RNA
Rfam family: Bacterial small subunit ribosomal RNA
Source: RNAcentral